This 496-nucleotide ribosomal RNA is filed under the name uncultured bacterium. Its description in RNAcentral is "partial 16S ribosomal RNA". It matches the Rfam family "Bacterial small subunit ribosomal RNA", at positions 28 to 507 of the family's 1533-position model. The record is from RNAcentral.
GAUGAACGCUGGCGGCGUGCCUAAUACAUGCAAGUCGAACGCAUAGCGAAAGGUGCUUGCACCUUUCAAGUGCGUGGCGAACGGGUGAGUAACACGUGGACAACCUGCCUCAAGGCUGGGGAUAACAUUUGGAAACAGAUGCUAAUACCGAAUAAAACUUAGUGUCGCAUGACACAAAGUUAAAAGGCGCUUCGGCGUCACCUAGAGAUGGAUCCGCGGUGCAUUAGUUAGUUGGUGGGGUAAAGGCCUACCAAGACAAUGAUGCAUAGCCGAGUUGAGAGCUGGUUGGCCCCAUUUGGAACUGAGCCCCGGCCCAACUCCUUAGGGAAGGCUGCGGAAGGGAACCUCCACAAUGGGGGGAAACCCUACUGAGCAACGCCGCGUGUGUGAUGAAGGCUUUCGGGUCGUAAAGCACUGUUGUAUGGGAAGAACAGCUAGAAUAGGAAAUGAUUUUAGUUUGACGGUACCAUACCAGAAAGGGACGGCUAAAUACGUG